Long non-coding RNA from Sciurus carolinensis (gray squirrel), 2214 nucleotides. RefSeq lists it as uncharacterized. Lineage: Eukaryota; Metazoa; Chordata; Mammalia; Rodentia; Sciuridae. The record is from RefSeq and is a predicted model, not a curated record. The transcript has 2 exons.
CUCUUCCUCUGCCCGCGCGCUCCCCGCCCCCCUUCAGCUGCUGAGCGGAUCGGGCUCCCUUCCCGGCUCGUCUGGGCGGUCGGCUGCGUGGGGGCGUCCAGAUGGAGGCUUGGACACUCACCCUGCCCCGUCACAAACACACACACACACACACACACACACACACACUCCACUUCCGCUACACACACUCCCUCCUCCGCUGCCCUCUUCGCACACCCACUCACACACCUUAUGCUACACACCUCCCUGUUGACAAAGCGCGCCAGCGUGCCGAGCUAGCCAACAGGGUCUCAGGGCGCCAGAGCAGACGCCGAAGCUCUCCGGAGGUUACUUUCUGCGAAAACUCUGUCCUCACCUUCGCCACCUCUCCCUGUCGCCAUGAAACCCCCUGAUCCCCGCAAACAGUCUCUCCAGGGGUGAGUCCUGUCCGCAUCCAAGCCUUACUCCAGAAUGCACACUAGGAGGAACAUUCUCCCUCUACCUCGCCAAGAACCACCUCGGUGUCCUCGGCACGGUCCUGAGUGAAGCAAACAGUGUCCCCAACGAGUUUCGAGCCGCCAUCAUCCUACACGUGUUUCCCUUUGCUAGUUAAAAAGAAAACUGACCCCGGAGAAACAUUGUUUAGUUCCCAAAGCAAUUUUUAAAAACUUUUUUAAAGCGGCGUGUUGUGGGUCACUGGACCCACGGCUCCUACCUCCCAGCGCGCCCCAGCCCGCACCAGAAGCGCUCCGGGCCUGGCAAGGGCCCUUCGGGAAAGAUGGUCCCGGAAUCCCUAUGCCCCGCACGCCGGCGCCUGCCUAGCCGGUGGCCGUUUGUGCCCCCGCCCUUUCCCGCUCCAAAGUCGUGGAAGCCGAGGAAAAAGUGCAGAGGGCAGCCUCGCGGACCCGGCUCGUCCCUUUCCUGUCCCCGACCCUGAACCGCCCCAGUCUGAAGGGGACCCAGGCGGGCAGGAGCCACGGCGCCACGCCGUGGAGGGAGCGUAGCGCUGCAGGCGCUCUCCAGCCGCUCACCUGCCACCGCCGCCGACGCAGCGCGCCAGCUCCCGCCUGGGCUCUAGCUCAAGACGGUCAGGGACCCGGGACAGCCAGAAGUCGCCUCUGCUUGUCUAUCCGAGCACCGCUUCUUUCACUGCCCGCCUGAACAACUGGUCUCCAGGAACCGGCCAUCUCCCUGACUUCAAACGCUCAGAGCUAAUUUGGGAAAGUUUCUUGCUUGCACUGUGCGCUUUUUUCCAAUUGAGGAUGAAAAUUAAAGGAAAAAGGAAAGAAAUCUCAUCGAGGUUAGCACCUUUGUAGGUACCCCCACCCCCAGAAAAACGUGUGAAGUCGCGUUUCUAAGAAAAGGAAAGAAAGCUGCGCUCUUACCACGUGCGCCAGCCCGCUGAGCCUGCGCUCCGGCCGGUCCCGCGGGCCCCUCGCUGACCACCGGCAAGACGACGCCUCGGAGGGGAAACCGACUCGCAUCUCCAGCCUGAGUCCGAAAGAAAGGGGGGUAGCCGGAUUAUGCAAAUGUGGGUCCCGGCAGAGGGGCUCGGGUUACGGCCCCCGCCAGCCCAAGAGGUGAGGCACCCACCGGUGGCAAGCGCGGGCCUGGCAACUGCUCUGGCUUCGCUCCUCUCAGUACACGUGGGCGGGCGCGCGGGCGGCAGCCGAAUUGCCGCGGCCUUCUUACUGCGGGUGCUGCUGACAACCCGGCGGGCUGCCGCCGUGCGCGGCCCCGAGGGGGAGCUCCCGGACACCCAAGUGCCAGGCGAACUAGGCUCUGAGGGCAGGGCGUCUGCUGGGGGUGGCCAGGCAAGGGGGAACCGCGCGGUCUGCCGCUGCCACCUUUCACCGAGGAGGAGGCCAAUGCGGUUAAAGAGGGGGGAGGAGGCCUCACCGAGGAGUAUUGAAAGCAUGUUAGAGUAAAUGGGAGUAACAGACCCUCUGGAAUUCUGAACUUUCCAAGGACUCACACAUCAGGUGACUAGAUAAAAUGGAACCAUGUGGGGGUCCUAAUCCAGUGUAAAAUAUUCUUAGAAGAAGAGAAAAUUUGGACACAGAGAGACACCCAGGAUACCUUUUCAUGAAGGAAAGACCAUGUGAGGAAACAACCAGAGGGUGACCAUAAGUUAGCCAAGGAGAGAUGCCCAGGAGAAACCAGCCUGCCAACACCUUGAUCUUGGACUUCUAACUUCCAGAGUUGUGAGAAAAUAAAUUCCUGUUGCUGAAACCA